This 253-nucleotide ribosomal RNA is filed under the name uncultured bacterium. Its description in RNAcentral is "partial 16S ribosomal RNA". It matches the Rfam family "Bacterial small subunit ribosomal RNA", at positions 524 to 776 of the family's 1533-position model. The record is from RNAcentral.
UACAGAGGGUGCAAGCGUUAAUCGGAAUUACUGGGCGUAAAGGGUGCGUAGGUGGACGCAUAAGUCGGAUGUGAAAUCCCUGGGCUUAACCUAGGAACUGCAUUCGAUACUGUGAGUCUAGAGUAUGGUAGAGGUAAGUGGAAUUUCCAGUGUAGCGGUGAAAUGCGUAGAUAUUGGAAGGAACAUCAGUGGCGAAGGCGACUUACUGGACUGAUACUGACGCUGAGGCACGAAAGCGUGGGGAGCAAACAGG